RNAcentral lists this ribosomal RNA (488 nucleotides) under uncultured bacterium. Its description in RNAcentral is "partial 16S ribosomal RNA". It matches the Rfam family "Bacterial small subunit ribosomal RNA", at positions 28 to 507 of the family's 1533-position model. The record is from RNAcentral.
GACGAACGCUGGCGGCGUGCUUAACACAUGCAAGUCGAACGCGCCUGUCCUCUGGGUUUCUGGGGGGUGGGUGAGUGGCGAACGGGUGAGUAACACGUGAGUAACCUGCCCCCUUCUUCGGGAUAACGGUCUGAAAGGGCUGCUAAUACCGGGUAUUCACUGGUCUCCGCAUGGGGUCUGGUGGAAAGGUUUUUUUCUGGUGGGGGAUGGGCUCGCGGCCUAUCAGCUUGUUGGUGGGGUGAUGGCCCACCAAGGCUUUGACGGGUAGCCGGCCUGAGAGGGUGACCGGUCACAUUGGGACUGAGAUACGGCCCAGACUCCUACGGGGGGCAGCAGUGGGGAAUAUUGCACAAUGGGCGCAAGCCUGAUGCAGCGACGCCGCGUGAGGGAUGGAGGCCUUCGGGUUGUGAACCUCUUUCGCCCGUGGUCAAGCCGCGACGUGGGUCGUGGUGAGGGUAGUGGGUAAAGAAGCGCCGGCUAACUACGUG